GGAACAGUAGUAAGUGCCCAUUUUGCAAGCCUACUGAAUCUUUUAUGUGGAUUUCCACUAAUAAGAAAGUUUCAUAUCAUAUGUUGUUUUAGUUUUGCAAUUUCUUUUCUUUGUUUAUUUUCUUAUUGGGCUUGUGUGAUUUCAUAUUUAGAUUAUUGGUUUAGUGCUAGAACUAUUAUAGUUGAGAACUGAAAAUGCAAAAUAUAGCAUUAUGAAUUGUUUAUUCAUAUAACAUGAGCAACAGUUUCAUGCAAGUCCAAUUUUGUAAUGCUUUGCGUGUGUAAAUUUAUCUCCUUCACUUUGCC
RNAcentral lists this unclassified non-coding RNA (305 nucleotides) under Hevea brasiliensis (rubber tree). The record is from RNAcentral. Lineage: Eukaryota; Viridiplantae; Streptophyta; Magnoliopsida; Malpighiales; Euphorbiaceae.